UACGUAGGUGGCAAGCGUUGUCCGGAUUUACUGGGCGUAAAGGGCGUGUAGGCGGUUUGUUAAGUGCAGGGUGAAAGCUCCCGGCUCAACUGGGAGAGGUCCUUGCAUACUGGCAAACUCGAGGGAGGCAGAGGAAAGUGGAAUUCCCGGUGUAGUGGUGAUAUGCGUAGAUAUCUGGAGGAACACCGGUGGCGAAGGCGGCAUUCUGGACCGACAUUGACGCUGAGGAGCGAAAGCCAGGGGAGCAAACGGG
RNAcentral lists this ribosomal RNA (253 nucleotides) under uncultured bacterium. Its description in RNAcentral is "partial 16S ribosomal RNA". It matches the Rfam family "Bacterial small subunit ribosomal RNA", at positions 524 to 776 of the family's 1533-position model. The record is from RNAcentral.